Oncorhynchus kisutch (coho salmon) is the source of this 109-nucleotide ribosomal RNA. NCBI's taxonomy places the organism in Eukaryota, Metazoa, Chordata, Actinopteri, Salmoniformes, Salmonidae. The record is from Ensembl.
GCUUACGACUACACCUGCCUGAGUACGUCUGAUCUCGGAAGCUAAGUAGGGUCGGGCCUGUUUAGUACUUGGAUGGGUGACCGCCUGGGAAUACCAGGUGCUGUAAGCU